This 433-nucleotide ribosomal RNA is filed under the name uncultured bacterium. RNAcentral describes it as "partial 16S ribosomal RNA". It matches the Rfam family "Bacterial small subunit ribosomal RNA", at positions 29 to 507 of the family's 1533-position model. The record is from RNAcentral.
AACGAACGCUGGCGGCAUGCCUAACACAUGCAAGUCGAACGAGACCUUCGGGUCUAGUUGCGCACGGGUGCGUAACGCGUGGGAACCUGCCCUUAGGUUCGGAAUAACUCUCCGACAGGGGUGCUAACACCGGGUAAUGUCCUCGGACAAAAGAUUUAUCGUCUUUGGAUGGGCCCGCGUUGGUUUAACCAGUUGGUAGGGUAAAAGCCUACCACGGCGACGCUCCAUAGCUGGUCUGAGAGGAUGAGCAGCCACACUGGGACUGAGACACGGCCCAGACUCCUACGGGAGGCAGCAGUGGGUAAUAUUGGACAAUGGGCGAAAGCCUGAUCCAGCAAUGCCGCGUGAGUGAUGAAGGCCUUAGGGUUGUAAAGCUCUUUUACCCGGGAUGAUAAUGACAGUACCGGGAGAAUAAGCUCCGGCUAACUCCGUG